Molecule: long non-coding RNA, 769 nt
Filed under: Sparus aurata (gilthead seabream)
Lineage: Eukaryota; Metazoa; Chordata; Actinopteri; Spariformes; Sparidae
Description: lncRNA (ENSSAUG00010005279.1)
Source: RNAcentral
UUUUUCGAUUUAAGCAGAUAUUUUAAUUCAGGAGUCCCAUCCAUUAACAGAAUAUUUUUUCCCUUUUCUCAUCAGAUAAUUUGUGUGAGCCUGUAUAGUCAUGGAUGGAGGAGGUGAGGAGGUGAUCUUGCCACCUUCAUUACAUCCACUCUUCCAAAACUAAGUGAACUUGAGUCUUUGAGGUUCUUCAGGAAUCAGGAGUCCAUGACCUGGAGGACUUGAGCUACAUACAAGAGAGUGACCUUCUUCAUGUCCUAAAGCCUGUGGAAGUGAGGAAACAGCUUUCCCGUUUCAGAACGACAAGCCAAAGAGAUGUGUUGGGCAGUCCUCCAAGCAACCACCAGUCCUCAAAUACAGCCCGUGACAGUCUUCCAACCCAGCCAGAUGAGACUUUCUCUUCGGGAAGUUCUACUUUGGCAGCAGCGCACUUCAUGUUAUAUGUGGACCAGACCAUUGUGAGCAGCCAAAUCACUGGCUUCAGUGAUGCUGUUUACUUCCUACUACUGCCUGAACAUCUCUUACCCCAGCAGCCCAAGGAGCAACAUUGGAGUUCUUGCAAAAGGUAAGAAAGCAUUAGUCAAUUUUACACAUCAAAACCCAUAUAAAAUGACCAGAAAAAUAAUAACCCAUCCAUAAUUAUCACACUUAAAGGGAUAUUCCGGUGUAAAUUUAAUCCAUGGUCUAACUUUUUGGUGUUUCUGGUUUUGAUGGGUUAUGGUAUUCAGCUUUGAUUAAAAUAAAGCUUGCUCUUAUUUCCCCCUAAUCCUUC